UGAGAGUGGCGCACGGGUGAGUAACACAUGGCUGACCUGCCCUGCAGACGAGGACAACCGGUGGAAACGCUGGCUAAUACUCGAUACGCUCGGGGGAGUUAGAGACCCCUGAAGAAAGUGAUUAGCGCUGCAGGAGGGGGCUGUGGCCCAUCAGCUAGUUGGUAGGGUAACGGCCUACCAAGGCGAGGACGGGUAGGGGGCCUGAGAGGGUGACCCCCCACACGGGUACUGAGACACGGACCCG
This 244-nucleotide ribosomal RNA is filed under the name uncultured bacterium. Its description in RNAcentral is "partial 16S ribosomal RNA". It matches the Rfam family "Bacterial small subunit ribosomal RNA", at positions 90 to 334 of the family's 1533-position model. The record is from RNAcentral.